ACUAAUGCAUUGAUGAAGAAUAGUAUAGCAGUCAUCCCUUGCGAAAAGAGAGUGUGAUCACCGGCUGAGAGUCACAUGGCAAAAUGAGCUAGAACCUACUUCUGAGCAGUUCUGAAAACAGAACCGUAUACUCUGCGAUAAAGAGUCUGAGCGUACUCUAUUUUUAGAGUAAAACAAGGUGGUACCGCGGAAUCCAAGCAUUUUCGUCCUUUUU
RNAcentral lists this non-coding RNA (214 nucleotides) under Kurthia sp. Its description in RNAcentral is "T-box sequence". It matches the Rfam family "T-box leader". Rfam says of the family: Uncharged tRNA acts as the effector for transcription antitermination of genes in the T-box leader family. The record is from RNAcentral. Lineage: Bacteria; Bacillati; Bacillota; Bacilli; Caryophanales; Caryophanaceae.